This 468-nucleotide ribosomal RNA is filed under the name uncultured bacterium. Its description in RNAcentral is "partial 16S ribosomal RNA". It matches the Rfam family "Bacterial small subunit ribosomal RNA", at positions 28 to 507 of the family's 1533-position model. The record is from RNAcentral.
GACGAACGCUGGCGGCGGGCUUAACACAUGCAAGUCGAACGGAAAGGCCCUGCUUUUGUGGGGUGCUCGAGUGGCGAACGGGUGAGUAACACGUGAGUAACCUGCCCUUGACUUUGGGAUAACUUCAGGAAACUGGGGCUAAUACCGGAUAGGAGCUCCUGCUGCAUGGUGGGGGUUGGAAAGUUUCGGCGGUUGGGGAUGGACUCGCGGCUUAUCAGCUUGUUGGUGGGGUAGUGGCUUACCAAGGCUUUGACGGGUAGCGGGCCUGAGAGGGUGACCGGCCACAUUGGGACUGCGAUACGGCCCAGACUCCUACGGGAGGCAGCAGUGGGGAAUAUUGCACAAUGGGAGGAAGCCUGAUGCAGCAACGCCGCGUGCGGGAUGACGGCCUUCGGGUUGUAAACCGCAUUAGCCUGUGACGAAGCGUGAGUGACGGUACUGGGUAAAGAAGCACCGGCUAACUACGUG